Molecule: ribosomal RNA, 497 nt
Filed under: uncultured bacterium
Lineage: Bacteria
Description: partial 16S ribosomal RNA
Rfam family: Bacterial small subunit ribosomal RNA
Source: RNAcentral
GAUGAACGCUGGCGGCGUGCCUAAUACAUGCAAGUCGAGCGAACAGACGAGGAGCUUGCUCCUCUGACGUUAGCGGCGGAAGGGUGAGUAACACGUGGAUAACCUACCUAUAAGACUGGGAUAACUUCGUGAAACCGGAGCUAAUACCGGAUAAUAUAUUGAACCGCAUGGUUCAAUAGUGAAAGACGGUUUUGCUGUCACUUAUAGAUGGAUCCGCGCCGCAUUAGCUAGUUGGUAAGGUAACGGCUUACCAAGGCAACGAUGCGUAGCCGACCUGAGAGGGUGAUCGGCCACACUGGAACUGAGACACGGUCCAGACUCCUACGGGAGGCAGCAGUAGGGAAUCUUCCGCAAUGGGCGAAAGCCUGACGGAGCAACGCCGCGUGAGUGAUGAAGGUCUUCGGAUCGUAAAACUCUGUUAUUAGGGAAGAACAAAUGUGUAAGUAACUAUGCACGUCUUGACGGUACCUAAUCAGAAAGCCACGGCUAACUACGUG